Molecule: RNase P RNA, 168 nt
Filed under: Brucella melitensis
Lineage: Bacteria; Pseudomonadati; Pseudomonadota; Alphaproteobacteria; Hyphomicrobiales; Brucellaceae
Description: partial RNase P RNA component class A
Rfam family: Bacterial RNase P class A
About the family: Ribonuclease P (RNase P) is a ubiquitous endoribonuclease, found in archaea, bacteria and eukarya as well as chloroplasts and mitochondria. Its best characterised activity is the generation of mature 5'-ends of tRNAs by cleaving the 5'-leader elements of precursor-tRNAs.
Source: RNAcentral
UCAGUCGGUCGGGCAGCCGCGCCUGUCAUGUGCCGAAAGGCGGCAGGUGAGGAAAGUCCGGGCUCCAAGGAAACACGAUGCCGGGUAACGCCCGGCGGGGGCGACCCCAGGGAAAGUGCCACAGAAAGCAAACCGCCCCGUCUUCCGUACCGUUUCGGGUAAACGGCA